CUUCGGGUUGAUAACUAGGCAAUGAUUUCGCAUGCUAUACGAUCUUUGCCCUUUAAGUGCCCGAUAUAUCAAACCUUUCCCUGCGGAGAACUUACACGUCUUCGGAUCCUUUUUCAUGAUGUCUGAUGUUUAAUUCGCCGCAACAUAA
Molecule: small nucleolar RNA, 148 nt
Filed under: Pyrenochaeta sp. DS3sAY3a
Lineage: Eukaryota; Fungi; Ascomycota; Dothideomycetes; Pleosporales; Cucurbitariaceae
Source: RNAcentral